Molecule: RNA transcript, 4349 nt
Organism: Phycodurus eques (leafy seadragon)
Lineage: Eukaryota; Metazoa; Chordata; Actinopteri; Syngnathiformes; Syngnathidae
Gene: kifc3
Gene name: kinesin family member C3
Exons: 19
Source: RefSeq, a predicted model, not a curated record
UUUAAUAUGUUUAAAUGUGUGUACAGUGGAACCUCGAUUGAACAGACGAACAGUUUGUGAAAGACGAUAUUAUAGUAUGAAUUUCAAGCACUUUUUUCGGUGGCCUAAAACACCCAGCACAGUACAAAAUGAUUGUAAAUGAAUCUCAAAAAUGUUCGAAAGGUUUUAAAGUUGUCCAAAACUGCGAUUGUCUAAUUCUGGCAUGAGCGUGCCGUUGCACAUACAGGACCACUUGGCAACAGACGUGCUCACGAUUUUGCAGGGUUAGGGUAGCUAUGUGUAUCUUUUUAUCGCGUCCACAACAAACUUCAAUCAAUCAGUCAAUCGAAUUUCAUUUACAUUAGUGAUGCACUAAGAUUUCGGCCGCCGAAACGUUUCGGCCGAAAGUGCAUUUCGGGGUCGAAACAACGGCAGCUGCUCUCGGAAAUACCGGUCUUUCUGUUGAUUACGCCCGUCGACAACAGCGGAACGAUUUUCGAGUUCAAGCCGUUCACUACCGCUCGCUGCGGAUUUUGCCCGUGAAAUCCAGAGUCCGUUGGUUCCAGAACCGUUAAUUUAAGAUUUUACCUCAUCAUUUCUGCAAGCGCCGGUCAUCAUUUGGUCUCUAAACAAUGAAUCGAUCAUAAAAAUAGUUGUCGAUGAACUUGCGAAUCAAUGAAUUUUUGUAUUGAAUUUGAAUUUUAAAUUUGAACAUUAUAUACGAUAGAAUAUACAGUAGAUGACAGAUAUGAAUUGUUGCACCUCUAGUGGUCUGGAUAACUCGGCCAGCCGUAUGGUGUUCCUAAUGUAGUGUCCUGUGAGCGUGCAUGUGUGCUUAAGCUCAAACGUCCGUGAGCGUCAUCAUCGUAUUACAUCAUCCUCGUCAUCAUCUUCAUCCUCUGCAACAGAUGGUCAACGGGGGGAGAUGUGCGUGUAUGUGAAAGAUUAAAUCUUAUGAGUAUAUUUUCUCCAACUCGAUUGAAUUUCACGCUUUAGAGGCAACCUUGAAUUGGAGUUCCUAGUUUUUCUCGUUCAGUUCCAUGAAUUCCCAUGGAAAGCGUCCGGCUUUGAGAUUUGAACGCCGACUGUGAGCGUCGUGGUCUCGGCCAUGUUGGUGUUGUGCCCGCUGGCUGUGUUGCUUCUGCACGCUUGCUUGAAGACUGACCAAAGGCGGGAGGCCACGCAGGACUUUGGGACUCCGGGUCUUUUGUCGGCGGCGCGCAGGAGUAAGCGCACCAGGAAGACGGGCAGCCCGGGCGGCACUCCCGGGAAGCCGGGCAAGGCGGUGCAGAGGUGUUUGAGGGUGCUGGGUGGUCCCAGGGUCAUGCUUGGACCAAGAAAGACGUGGGACCUCGGCCACGCCCCCUGUCUGCAGGACCUCUGGAAGAACGACUUCUCGUUGGACGCAAGCUCUGUGGACUUCCUGAUGAGUGAAUGUGAGGAUGAGGCCUCCUUCCUGUCGCUCCCAAGCCCCGCCUUCUCUCAGCGCCCCCUGCUGAGCGCCGAGCAGAGCCAAUCAAACGCGCCCAUGCAGCAGCAGCAGCAGCAGCAGCAGCAGCAGCUCAUCCAGACACUCCAGGACAAAGUGCGCCACCUUCAGGCUCGGCUGGACGAAGAAGAUGCCGCGCGCCAGCGUCUGUUACGGCAACAACACGCCGCCGCGGGGGGGCGGCCGAGAGAGGAACGCGUGGCGGCGUCUGGUGGUGUGGACAAAGAGCAGCUGAGCAGGCGAUUGCACUCGCAGGUGGAGGAACUGGAGAAGAAGCUUGUGGAGCAAACGCAGGAAGUGGAGAGACUUCGUUCAGGACUGGGGGCGACGGACUUGGAGAAGCAUCUGGCGCUUCUGGAGGCGGAGAACCAGAGUCUGAAACGACAGCUGACCUCCAGCUGGGCCUCUGAGGGCGCCUGCGGCUGCACUCAGGAGGUGGAGGCUCUGCGGAGGGAGCUGAUUGGCUGGGAGAAGCGCGGCCGGCAGACGCAGCGCCACCUGGCGGACGUAGAGAGGCAGCUGCUGGACAAAACUGUUCAGGUGGACGCAUUGCAGCGACGACUGGACCGCACCGUGGCCGUGGAAGUAGGACUUCCCGAGCACGACCUUGUGGUCCACUUGCGCGACGAAUCGGCGCCGCUGCAGGCUGCGGAGGAGGCCGGGUCCGGCGACUGCGCGUCUUCGCUGCGUGUGCAAAACGCUUUGCUGCAGGAGCAAAUUUGUGUUCAGCGCCACCUGCUGGGAGAGCUAGAGGCGCAAGUGCAGCAGUCACAGAGGGCGUGCGCUCAGCUCCGGACGCAGGUGGCGGUGUACGACGGUGAGAUGACGCGCGCUCACAAGCAGCUGGACGCCGAGCUGCUGGAGCUGAAGGAGGAGAAGGAGCGCGUCGUCCACGAGGCGUUCCUCAGGGCCGAGAGCCAAAUGAAGGCCGUGCACGACAACCUGGCAGGAGUGCGCACGAAGCUUCUCGGUCUUCAUCCUGCCUUGAGGACGCUCACCAGUGACUACAACACGCUCAAGAAGCAAGUGCACCACUUCCCCAGCAUGCUGCAGAACGCCAUCGAUAACGCCAAGCACGAGAUCUGUCAGGUGAUCAGUGAGGUGAGCCUGACCAACCAGAAGCUUGUCGACAAAUACAAACGCGAGAUGAACCUGAGGAAGAAGAUCCACAACCAGCUGGUCCAGCUCAAAGGAAACAUCCGAGUGUUGUGCCGCGUACGUCCCGUCGACGGCGGUCAGCAGGAGAGCAUGUUGACCUUUGACCCGGACGACGACGGCGUCCUCUACCUCAGCAACAAGGGCAAGGUCGUGACCUUUGCCCUGGACAAAGUCUUCCCGCCUCAGGCCACCCAGGAAGAGGUGUUCGCCGAGGUGGAGUCGCUGGUGACGUCCUGCGUCGAUGGCUUCAACGUUUGCAUCUUCGCGUACGGACAGACGGGCUCGGGAAAGACCUACACCAUGGAGGGCGCGCCGUCGGACCCAGGCCUGAACCAGCGAGCGCUGCGCCUCCUUUUCUCGCGAGUGACUGACAAAAGUCCCGAGUGGGAAUUCCACAUCUGCGUCAGCAUGCUGGAGAUUUACAACGAGACGCUAAGGGACCUUCUUGGCGACAAGCAGGCGGACAAACUGGACAUCAAGAUGAAUCCCGACGGGAACGGGCAACUUUACGUGCCAGGACUGACGCGCGUCGCCGUGCGCACGGUCGACGACGUCAACGAGGUUCUGGAGGCGGGCCGAGCGAGCCGAGCGACGGCGUGCACCAACCUCAACGAGCGGAGUUCUCGCUCUCACGCUCUGCUCGUCGUCAGCGUGGCGGGACUCAACGACACCACGGGAAGUCGCACGCAAGGUAAGCUGAACCUGGUGGACCUGGCCGGUUCCGAGCGGCUCCGUAAAUCAGGCGCCGAGGGCGGGCGUCUGCGCGAGGCUCAGCACAUCAACAAAUCUUUGUCGGCGCUGGGUGACGUCAUCAACGCGCUGCGAUGCAAACACGCUCACGUUCCCUUCAGGAACUCUCGCUUGACUUUCCUGCUGCAGGACAGCCUGCAAGGGGACAGCAAGACGCUCAUGAUGGUGCAGGUCCAAAAACCACGUCUUCUCUUCCUAUAUGAUUUCGUUGGCUUUUCACCGUCUUUGUUCAGUCCGACUGUGAUUUUCAAUAAAAAUCCAUCAGAAUACAAAGCGGUUCUUUGUGGUCCGAUGGAUUGCUAUUGAAAAGUGCCAGCUUACAAACUCCACUGUGGCACAGUUUACUGUUUUGACUGUUUUGGCAUUAAAGGGGCGCGGAUCCUCCUUUCUGCUUGACCUAACAGCCGAACAGGACAAAAAACAACAACAAAAACACGUCUCAAACUACUCUCUCUCUCUCUCACUGAUACUUUGUCUGUGUCUCUGUGCAUGUGUGUCUGUCCGUCCAUCCAUCCAUCCAUCCAUCCAUCCAUCCAUUUUCUCUGCUUAUCUGAGGUUGGGUCGCGGGGGCGGCAGCUGAAGCGGGGAAGCCCCGACUUCCCUCUCCCCAGCACUUCCGGGGGGAUCCCCAGGCGUCCCCAGGCCAGCCCAGCGUGUUUGCCUGGGUGACCCUAAGCUGAAACUAGAAAGUAGAACGCCCCAGACAAUUGACUCUCGCUCCUUGGAUCAUUGGGACAAUUGUGUGUGUGUGUGUGUGUGUAUUACUACUAUUUUGAGUGUCUGUCUGUGUGUUGCCCUGCGAUUGGCUGGCAACCAGUGCAGGGCGUACCCCGCCUCCUGCCCGAUGACAGCUGGGAUAGGCUCCGGCACGCCCGCGACCCGAGUGUCCCCCGUGCUGGGGAACGUGAGUGAGUCGCUAUGCUCUCUGAAGUUCGCUCAGCGUGUUCGCAGCGUGGAGCUCAACACGUCAAGC